RNAcentral lists this unclassified non-coding RNA (379 nucleotides) under uncultured Gammaproteobacteria bacterium. RNAcentral describes it as "contains 16S-23S intergenic spacer region". Lineage: Bacteria; Pseudomonadati; Pseudomonadota; Gammaproteobacteria. The record is from RNAcentral.
UCCGGUUCAUCACCAGCAGUCUCUUUAGAGUCCCCACCAUUACGUGUUGGCAACUAAAGAUAAGGGUUGCGCUCGUUACGGGACUUAACCCAACAUCUCACAACACGAGCUGACGACAGCCAUGCAGCACCUGUCUCAGAGUUCCUUUCGGCACUCCCACGUCUCUGCGGGAUUCUCUGGAUGUCAAGGGUAGGUAAGGUUCUUCGCGUUGCAUCGAAUUAAACCACAUGCUCCACCGCUUGUGCGGGCCCCCGUCAAUUUCUUUGAGUUUUAAUCUUGCGACCGUACUCCCCAGGCGGAAGACUUAUCGCGUUAGCUUCGAUACUGAUCGGUCUUAGCCUACCAACAUCUAGUCUUCAUCGUUUACAGCGUGGACUAC